This 499-nucleotide small RNA is filed under the name uncultured Glomeromycotina. Its description in RNAcentral is "SSU rRNA". It matches the Rfam family "Eukaryotic small subunit ribosomal RNA", at positions 591 to 1092 of the family's 1831-position model. The record is from RNAcentral. Lineage: Eukaryota; Fungi; Glomeromycota.
CCAAUAGCGUAUAUUAAAGUUGUUGCAGUUAAAAAGCUCGUAGUUGAAUUUCGGGACCAAUUUGUUGGUCGUGCCUCGGUACGUACUGGUAUUAUUGGUUUCUCCCUUCUGAAGAACCUCGAUGCCAUUAAUUUGGUGUCGUGGGGAAUCAGGACUGUUACUUUGAAAAAAUUAGAGUGUUUAAAGCAAGCAUACGCUUGAAUACAUUAGCAUGGAAUAAUGAAAUAGGACGUUUGAUUCUAUUUUGUUGGUUUCUAGGAUCGACGUAAUGAUUAAUAGGGAUAGUUGGGGGCAUUAGUAUUCAAUUGUCAGAGGUGAAAUUCUUGGAUUUAUUGAAGACUAACUACUGCGAAAGCAUUUGCCAAGGAUGUUUUCAUUAAUCAAGAACGAAAGUUAGGGGAUCGAAGACGAUCAGAUACCGUCGUAGUCUUAACCAUAAACUAUGCCGACUAGGGAUCGGAUGAUGUUAAUUUUUUAAUGACUCAUUCGGCGCCUUACG